CCUACGGGUGGCAGCAGUGGGGAAUAUUGCACAAUGGGCGCAAGCCUGAUGCAGCCAUGCCGCGUGUGUGAAGAAGGCCUUCGGGUUGUAGAGCACUUUCAGCGGGGAGGAAGGCGGUGAGGUUAAUAACCUCAUCGAUUGACGUUACCCGCAGAAGAAGCACCGGCUAACUCCGUGCCAGCAGCCGCGGUAAUACGGAGGGUGCAAGCGUUAAUCGGAAUUACUGGGCGUAAAGCGCACGCAGGCGGUCUGUCAAGUCGGAUGUGAAAUCCCCGGGCUCAACCUGGGAACUGCAUUCGAAACUGGCAGGCUAGAGUCUUGUAGAGGGGGGUAGAAUUCCAGGUGUAGCGGUGAAAUGCGUAGAGAUCUGGAGGAAUACCGGUGGCGAAGGCGGCCCCCUGGACAAAGACUGACGCUCAGGUGCGAAAGCGUGGGGAGCAAACAGGAUUAGAUACCCCGGUAGUC
RNAcentral lists this ribosomal RNA (465 nucleotides) under uncultured Klebsiella sp. Its description in RNAcentral is "bacterial SSU rRNA". It matches the Rfam family "Bacterial small subunit ribosomal RNA", at positions 338 to 795 of the family's 1533-position model. The record is from RNAcentral. Lineage: Bacteria; Pseudomonadati; Pseudomonadota; Gammaproteobacteria; Enterobacterales; Enterobacteriaceae.